RNAcentral lists this ribosomal RNA (374 nucleotides) under uncultured organism. RNAcentral describes it as "partial 16S ribosomal RNA". It matches the Rfam family "Bacterial small subunit ribosomal RNA", at positions 527 to 897 of the family's 1533-position model. The record is from RNAcentral.
GUAGGUGGCAAGCGUUGUCCGGAAUUAUUGGGCGUAAAGCGCGCGCAGGCGGUUCUUUAAGUCUGAUGUGAAAGCCCACGGGCUCAACCGUGGAGGGUCAUUGGAAACUGGAGAACUUGAGUACAGAAGAGGAAAGCGGAAUUCCACGUGUAGCGGUGAAAUGCGUAGAGAUGUGGAGGAACACCAGUGGCGAAGGCGGCUUUCUGGUCUGUAACUGACGCUGAGGCGCGAAAGCGUGGGGAGCAAACAGGAUUAGAUACCCUGGUAGUCCACGCCGUAAACGAUGAGUGCUAAGUGUUAGGGGGUUUCCGCCCCUUAGUGCUGCAGCUAACGCAUUAAGCACUCCGCCUGGGGAGUACGACCGCAAAGGUUGA